CCUACGGGUGGCAGCAGUAGGGAAUCUUCCACAAUGGGCGAACGCCUGAUGGAGCAACGCCGCGUGGGUGAAGAAGGUCUUCGGAUCGUAAAACCCUGUUGUUAGAGAAGAAAGUGCGUGAGAGUAACUGUUCACGUUUCGACGGUAUCUAACCAGAAAGCCACGGCUAACUACGUGCCAGCAGCCGCGGUAAUACGUAGGUGGCAAGCGUUAUCCGGAUUUAGUGGGCGUAAAGGGAACGAAGGCGGUCUUUUAAGUCUGAUGGGAAAGCCUUCGGCUUAACCGGAGUAGUGCAUUGGAAACUGGGAGACUUGAGUGCAGAAGAGGAGAGUGGAACUCCAUGUGUAGCGGUGAAAUGCGUAGAUAUAUGGCAGAACACUAGUGGCGAAAGCGGCUCUCUGGUCUGUAACUGACGCUGAGGUUCGAAAGCGUGGGUAGCAAACAGGAUUAGAUACCCGUGUAGUC
RNAcentral lists this ribosomal RNA (465 nucleotides) under uncultured bacterium. Its description in RNAcentral is "partial 16S ribosomal RNA". It matches the Rfam family "Bacterial small subunit ribosomal RNA", at positions 338 to 795 of the family's 1533-position model. The record is from RNAcentral.